RNAcentral lists this ribosomal RNA (1243 nucleotides) under Hackeriella veitchi. RNAcentral describes it as "16S ribosomal RNA". The stretch from base 810 to 1168 matches the Rfam family "Bacterial large subunit ribosomal RNA", at positions 2078 to 2643 of the family's 2925-position model. The record is from RNAcentral. Lineage: Eukaryota; Metazoa; Arthropoda; Insecta; Hemiptera; Peloridiidae.
UUAUUAGAAUUUAUUUUUUUGUUUUUUUAUUUUUUUAGAAUUGAUUAGUGGUUUGAGUUUAUAUUGAAAUGAUUUAGGAUUGAGUUUCUGUAAGGGCUUAUUUUAUAUUAAAUUAAAAGUAUAGUUUCUGUUAGUACCUUUUGUAUUAGGGUUAAUUUAAUUUAAGGAUGGCUAAUUUAUAUCCCGAAGAAGAGGGAUCUAAUGGACUAUGGAAGUUAAUGUUAUAUUAUUAUUUUUAAUUGUUUUGUUAGAAUUGAGAUGAUAUUCAUACUUUUAUAUCUGGUUAUUGGAAAAUUUGAUUUAAUCUAGGAGUUUUAUAACAAUUGAGUAUUUAUUUUAGAAUUGGAUCUGGCUCUUUUCAUUGAGGGGGUAAGCUCUGGGUGGAAGUUAUAAUAUUAAGAAUAUUGACGUUCAGUAGGAUUAGAAGUGUCCAUUUUUAUAUUGUGUUAUGACUAGGUUUCUGGUAAUAGUUAUUUGUUUUUAUUUAACAUGUUUAUCUGGUGAUUUUUUUUAAUUUGGUAAAAUGUAGAUAUAAUGAUUAAAUAAGUAAAUAUAUGUUAGUUAGGGGAGUAGAAUUCGGCAAAUUUAAUCUUCACCUGUUUAUCAAAAACAUGUCCUUUUGAUUGUAUUUAAGGUCAGGCCUGCCCUAUGAUUAUUUAAAUGGCUGCGGUAUUUUGACCGUGCAAAGGUAGCAUAAUAAUUAGUCUUUUAAAUGGAGUCUUGAAUGAAUGGUUAGAUGAGGGGUUAACUUUUUUCUCUUAUUAUGUUUGAAUUUAAUAAUUGAGUUAAAAGGCUUUAAUAAUUUAGUGGGACGAGAAGACCCUAUAGAACUUUAAUUUUAUUUUGUUGAUUUUAUUUAGAUAUGAGGUUAUGAGUUGGUAUGAUUUAUAUUUUAGUUGGGGUGACUAAAGAAUUUGUUUAACUUCUUUAUUUUUCUUUAAUUAUAUUUAAUUUCUUUUUGAUCCUUUAUUAUGUAUUAAUAGAUAAGUUACCUUAGGGGUAACAGCGUAAUUUGUCUGUGGAGUUCAAAUCGAUAGAUAAGAUUGCGACCUCGAUGUUGGAUUAAGGUAAAUAUUAGGGGUAGUUUUUUAAUGUUUAAGUCUGUUCGACUUUUAAAAUCUUACAUGAUCUGAGUUCAGACCGGUGUGAGCCAGGUUGGUUUCUAUCCUUUAAUUAAGAUUAUCUAAUAGUACGAAAGGACCUUGGAUGAGGAAGUUAUUUUUAUUUAUUUUGUUUUCUUGUA